This 592-nucleotide long non-coding RNA is filed under the name Salmo salar (Atlantic salmon). RNAcentral's name for it is "lncRNA (ENSSSAG00000085330.1, ENSSSAG00000105634.1)". Lineage: Eukaryota; Metazoa; Chordata; Actinopteri; Salmoniformes; Salmonidae. The record is from RNAcentral.
AGACAGAGCAGAAGGAGGUGAAGCAGCCGUUUGCACAUGGAACUACCUGGGCACCAAGCAGUCAUCCGUAGGCUACAGAGCCAAACAUGCAGAACCAACUAUUGCAGAAGAGAGGAAGCAGCAGAGGUGGGAGCAGCAGGCAGCAGAGAGGGAGCUGCAGCAGAGGCUGGAGCAGCAGGCAGCAGAGAGGGAGCUGCAGCAGAGGUGGGAGCAGCAGGCAGCAGAGAGGGAGCUGCAGCAGAGGCUGGAACAACAGGCAACAGAGAGGGAGCCACAGCAGAGGCUGGAGCAGCAGGCAGCAGAGAGGAGGCAGCAGAGGCUGGAGCAGCAGGCAGCAGAGAGGGAGCUGCAGCAGAGGUGGGAGCAGCAGGCAGCAGAGAGGGAGCUGCAGCAGAGGCUGGAACAACAGGCAACAGAGAGGGAGCCACAGCAGAGGCUGGAGCAGCAGGCAGCAGAGAGGAGGCAGCAGAGGCUGGAGCAGCAGGCAGCAGAGAGGGAGCAGCAGAGGUUGGAGCAGCAGGCAGAAGAGAGGAGGCAGCAGAGGUUGGAGCAGCAAGCAGCAGAGAGGAAGCAGCAGAGGUUGGAGCAGCAA